RNAcentral lists this long non-coding RNA (283 nucleotides) under Nicotiana benthamiana. Its description in RNAcentral is "long non-coding RNA (NBEN_LNC039272)". The record is from RNAcentral. Lineage: Eukaryota; Viridiplantae; Streptophyta; Magnoliopsida; Solanales; Solanaceae.
AAAUAACUAUUAAUCAAUGCUCAUCCGACCCAAAGAAUGCAAACUCAGAGUACAAAGCAUGUUUAGUUUUGUCAAGAAUUUAAUGUUUAUGAUAUUGGCUAUAAGACAACGUUGUGGUGUGAGUCAGUGGACAAUGAAAAGUUAAUGGAUGAUAUGCAACACUCUGUCGUUACCUUCUGAUAUAGGCUCUAGACGAUAGUUCUGUGAAUAGAAAGAAAAUGUGAUGACUGCCGAUCUCUUGUUUUAGAAAUCAAAUUUAUAUUCGAAGCCUUAAAAAUUUUCU